AGGAGUGGGGAUUUGGAGAUAGGAUUUAAAAUUUUAGAAAUUAAAAAAAUUUAAAAUUUUCAAAAGAAAAAAUACUAUUUUGGUCAUUUUAGUUUUUGAGGUCUAUUUUUGUGACAAAAACUUAAAAUGUCUAUUUGAGAGAAUUGUCCAUAAAUAAAUGGAUAUAAUUUUAAUUUAUUUAUUUUUCUAUUUUUCUAAAAAUAGCAUAAAAUAAAUUAUACAAAAUUGUACAAAAAUAUGUCUACAAAUCGAAUAAUAGAUACACUCAAACAUAUUUAAUCUAGUAUAUUUUUUUUAAAAUCCAAAACAUUCAAUCAACUCAGAGAAAUAAAAAUGAAUAAUUACGCUCGUCAAUAAAUUUGAUACAUAAAAUGUUAUUCUUUUUUUUUUGUUGUACGAUUAAUCAUACAACUAGUCAUAAGUUGCUUUUUCAACCUAUUCAGAAAAUAGUAGCUAUAAAUUAAAAAUUUAUGCAUCCCGCAAUCUCAAAUCGUUUUCAUCGACGAAGAGACCAUUGUUUGGUUAGAAGAGUCUUGAUCGAGUUUAUUAAUGCUGAUAACAAAAAAAAAAUUAUGCAACUUAAAGUUAGUCGCUGCAACUUGUCGCAUAAAUCUACGAUGAUGAAACAAACAUCAGUUAGUCGUAGGUCAUAAGACCCACGAACUUGCAACAGAAACAUACAAUAUUUUUGUGACACCCCG
This 701-nucleotide long non-coding RNA is filed under the name Brassica napus (rape). RNAcentral describes it as "long non-coding RNA (BNAP_LNC020408)". Lineage: Eukaryota; Viridiplantae; Streptophyta; Magnoliopsida; Brassicales; Brassicaceae. The record is from RNAcentral.